GGGAACGUGCCCUUUGGUACGGAACAACUGAGGGAAACUUCAGCUAAUACCGUAUGUGCCCUUCGGGGGAAAGAUUUAUCGCCAUUGGAGCGGCCCGCGUUAGAUUAGCUAGUUGGUAGGGUAAUGGCCUACCAAGGCGACGAUCUAUAGCUGGUCUGAGAGGAUGAUCAGCCACACUGGGACUGAGACACGGCCCAGACUCCUACGGGAGGCAGCAGUAGGGAAUCUUGCGCAAUGGGCGAAAGCCUGACGCAGCCAUGCCGCGUGAAUGAUGAAGGUCUUAGGAUUGUAAAAUUCUUUCACCGGGGACGAUAAUGACGGUACCCGGAGAAGAAGCCCCGGCUAACUUCGUGCCAGCAGCCGCGGUAAUACGAAGGGGGCUAGCGUUGCUCGGAAUUACUGGGCGUAAAGGGAGCGUAGGCGGAUAGUUUAGUCAGAGGUGAAAGCCCAGGGCUCAACCUUGGAAUUGCCUUUGAUACUGGCUAUCUUGAGUAUGGAAGAGGUAUGUGGAACUCCGAGU
This 520-nucleotide ribosomal RNA is filed under the name uncultured bacterium. RNAcentral's name for it is "bacterial SSU rRNA". It matches the Rfam family "Bacterial small subunit ribosomal RNA", at positions 120 to 674 of the family's 1533-position model. The record is from RNAcentral.